AGUGAACGCUGGCGGCAGGCCUAACACAUGCAAGUCGAGCGGCAGCACGGCAAUAGCAAUAUUGUGGGUGGCGAGCGGCGGACGGGUGAGGAAUGCAUCGGGAUCUACCCUGUCGUGGGGGACAACGUAGGGAAACUUACGCUAAUACCGCAUGAUCUGGAGACAGCAAAGCCGGGGACCUUCGGGCCUGGCGCGAUGGGAUGAGCCGAUGUCCGAUUAGCUAGUUGGCGGGGUAAAGGCCCACCAAGGCGACGAUCGGUAGCUGGUCUGAGAGGACGACCAGCCACACUGGAACUGAGACACGGUCCAGACUCCUACGGGAGGCAGCAGUGGGGAAUAUUGGACAAUGGGGGCGAACCCUGAUCCAGCCAUGCCGCGUGGGUGAAGAAGG
This 391-nucleotide ribosomal RNA is filed under the name uncultured bacterium. Its description in RNAcentral is "bacterial SSU rRNA". It matches the Rfam family "Bacterial small subunit ribosomal RNA", at positions 30 to 414 of the family's 1533-position model. The record is from RNAcentral.